CUACGUGCCAGCAGCCGCGGUAAUACGGAAGGUCCGGGCGUUAUCCGGAUUUAUUGGGUUUAAAGGGAGCGUAGGCCGGAGAUUAAGUGUGUUGUGAAAUGUAGACGCUCAACGCCUGACUUGCAGCGCAUACUGGUUUCCUUGAGUACGCACAACGUUGGCGGAAUUCGUCGUGUAGCGGUGAAAUGCUUAGAUAUGACGAAGAACUCCGAUUGCGAAGGCAGCUGACGGGAGCGCAACUGACGCUUAAGCUCGAAGGUGCGGGUAUCGAACAGGAUUAGAUACCCUGGUAGUCCGCACAGUAAACGAUGGAUGCCCGCUGUUAGCGCCUGGCGUUAGCGGCUAAGCGAAAGCAUUAAGCAUCCCACCUGGGGAGUACGCCGGCAACGGUGAAACUCAAAGGAAUUGACGGGGGCCCGCACAAGCGGAGGAACAUGUGGUUUAAUUCGAUGAUACGCGAGGAACCUUACCCGGGCUUGAAUUGCAGAGGAAUUAUUUAGAGAUA
Molecule: ribosomal RNA, 505 nt
Filed under: uncultured bacterium
Lineage: Bacteria
Description: bacterial SSU rRNA
Rfam family: Bacterial small subunit ribosomal RNA
Source: RNAcentral